This 253-nucleotide ribosomal RNA is filed under the name uncultured bacterium. RNAcentral describes it as "partial 16S ribosomal RNA". It matches the Rfam family "Bacterial small subunit ribosomal RNA", at positions 524 to 776 of the family's 1533-position model. The record is from RNAcentral.
UACGUAGGGUGCAAGCGUUAAUCGGAAUUACUGGGCGUAAAGCGUGCGCAGGCGGUUAUGUAAGUCAGGUGUGAAAUCCCAGGGCUUAACCUUGGAACUGCAUUUGUGACUGCAUAGCUAGAGUACGGUAGAGGGGGAUGGAAUUCCGCGUGUAGCAGUGAAAUGCGUAGAUAUGCGGAGGAACACCGAUGGCGAAGGCAAUCCCCUGGACCUGUACUGACGCUCAUGCACGAAAGCGUGGGGAGCAAACAGG